Molecule: ribosomal RNA, 443 nt
Filed under: uncultured bacterium
Lineage: Bacteria
Description: bacterial SSU rRNA
Rfam family: Bacterial small subunit ribosomal RNA
Source: RNAcentral
UUGGAGGCAGCAGUAAGGAAUAUUGCGCAAUGGGCGAAAGCCUGACGCAGCGACGCCGCGUGAGGGACGAAGGCCUUCGGGUUGUAAACCUCUUUCAGCAGGGACGAAGCGAAAGUGACGGUACCUGCAGAAGAAGCACCGGCCAACUACGUGCCAGCAGCCGCGGUAAUACGUAGGGUGCAAGCGUUGUCCGGAAUUAUUGGGCGUAAAGAGCUCGUAGGCGGUCUGUCGCGUCGGAUGUGAAAGCCCGGGGCUCAACCCCGGGUCUGCAUUCGAUACGGGCAGACUUGAGUCCGUCAGGGGAGACUGGAAUUCCUGGUGUAGCGGUGAAAUGCGCAGAUAUCAGGAGGAACACCGGUGGCGAAGGCGGGUCUCUGGGACGGUACUGACGCUGAGGAGCGAAAGCGUGGGGAGCAAACAGGAUUAGAUACCCCGGUAGUCCC